GUGAAUCAUCGAAUUUUUGAACGCAAAUUGCGCUUCCUGGCAUCCCGGGGAGUAUGCCUGUUUGAGGGUCAGUAUUAACAACAAUCGGUUUGGUUGCAAAUUGUGACGUUUCCUGGGUUUGGGCUAUCUUAACUUUUUUGGUUAAGAGGCUUAAAAUUGACCCUAUUUGCGCAUUUUUAGACGUACAUAGAUUUUUUUUUUAUUCGUCUAUUCUUAUUGCAAAAAUCUUAUUAGAUACACUAACAUC
RNAcentral lists this unclassified non-coding RNA (247 nucleotides) under Rhizophagus sp. (in: glomeromycetes). Its description in RNAcentral is "partial contains 5.8S ribosomal RNA and internal transcribed spacer 2". The stretch from base 1 to 71 matches the Rfam family "5.8S ribosomal RNA", at positions 84 to 154 of the family's 154-position model. The record is from RNAcentral. Lineage: Eukaryota; Fungi; Glomeromycota; Glomeromycetes; Glomerales; Glomeraceae.